CGGACAAUGCUGGGCCAAUUGUGCGCUGCCCUAUGGGACUCCCAAUCACGGCCGGAUGUGAUGCAGCCUGGAUUAGAACCAGGUACUGCAGUGAUGCCUUUUGUACUGAGGUGCAGAGUCUUGGAGACAUAAGAGCCAUUUUCUUAAGAUGGACAACAUUUUUAUCCGUUCGACAGGGGUGGACUUUUAUUUUGUCUAACUUUCUUUAUUGUGACAAAUUAUGAUGGAAACUGUGUCUUUCAAAUAAAUGAUGAUUGCCGAAUCCUUUUGAAGGUACGCAGGGACAAGGAUUGUCCUGACUUUCAAGAAUGCCUGAAGUGCUUUGCCUUACUUUUCUGGUUGGCUGGACAGCAGAUCGUGAAGGUGGGAAACCAGUUCAAGGUGAUGUGCUUGGCUGUGUAGCCCAACGACCCUGAAGUGUUCCUGUCUGGGGGUUACAGUGCAGAAGUCAAGGCUUGGGAUGCCCAUACCUGCAAGAGGGUGUACAGAGCAGGAAUACUGCAGACUUUGGCCAUCCUAUUCCUGACCGGGGGCAGGGAGUUUGUGACCAGCAGUGACUCAGUCAGCCAGGACUCUGCGGAGCGCACGCUCAACUUCCAAACCAUUGCUAAGGUCACCAAUCAGAUCUACCAUGUAAGUAAGACCACGGUCAUGUUCAGUAGGGCAUACUGUACCAAAAUGUUUUGCAACGGAUGUAAAUUAGCGUUUCUUAUUGGACAAUUUCAGUUAGUACUUCCCCAGUUCUAUCAGUUAGUACCUUCCCAGUUCUUUGGACAUGACGUAGCUUGUUUCACCUCAGCCAUGUUGUCCAUGCAAACAUACUGUACCUUUAAGGAGCAAAGAAGUAACUGGUAAUAAUGGAAUGUAUCUAUCAGUGUAUGUAUGUAAAGUAUCUAUCUUAAAGCUCUCACUUGUUUUGUCUUCCAUAAUACACAAUUACAGUUUUUGUCAGUCGCUUUGGUGCAUUUCUUAGAUCAAAAGUGCCAUUCUUGAUACUACUUGUACAAAUUCCAAAUCAUCUAGUCACUUGCACAAGUGGCAUCAUUAAAGCAAUUUCUUAUUCCUUUGAACAAAUUGCAAUUGCUUUUGUACAUAUUGCAACUGAUAAUGUACAAGUGUCAGCUUUUUUCCACAUUUUCAAUUGCUCAUGUCAUGUUGAUCAAAAUAUAGUAGAUGGUUCUCUGUUGAAUAGUCUUACCCCUCAAAACGUCUAGGCAUUAGUUCCUUGCAUAAGCCAUUACAUGCAAAAUUGUUGAACUAUUUGUCAUAAACUGUCAAGCAUAGUUUUACACAUUUCUAUUAGACCUUUUGUACAAAAACGUGAAUUGAUGAAUGGUGCAGGUGAAAUUGACCCUCACUCAUGAAGGAAUGUAAAGCGUUAGUUCAACCAACAAUCAACCAGUUGUCUAAAUUGCUCAAAGGUGCAUCUCAUGAAGAAUCAAUUGUCAAGCAUAUAUAGACAGACCACAACAAGGAGUUGCAAUUUUCCAAUAAUGGAUGGACCAGGAAACGAACAGGGUCAACAGCCAAGAGGAGGAAGAAGAGGAGCAAGGAUGCGUGGUGGAAGGCAAAACAGAGGAAGAGGCAGAAGAGGACAUAGGUGCAUAUCUGAUGACAUAAGGGCCACUAUUGUAGACCAUGUUGUGAAUCAUGGCCUUACAAUGGCUGAGGCGGGUCGAAGGGUGCAGCCGAAUAUUGGGAGAUCAACCGUGUCCUCAAUAGUUCAAACGUUUCGAAGAGAGAACAGGACUGCAAGAUUACCUCAAACCGGUGGCAGAGGACGCCUUUUCAUACCUCAACAGGAGGAGGCUAUUUGCACCAUGGUCCGAGCAAACAAUGCCAUGAGACUCAGGGAAAUACAAAGGACCAUUAUAGAAGACAACGAUGUCUUUGAAAACAUCCAUACGGUUAGCAUCUCAACCAUCGACAGGGUGCUGCAUAGAAACCAGAUGAGUAUGAAACAGCUGUACCGUGUACCAUUCCAAAGGAAUGAGGACAGAGUUAAGGAGCUACGGUACCAGUAUGUACAGCGUAUAAUGGAGUUGGAAUCAAGUGAACCCUCUCCCAACUUUGUAUACGUGGAUGAGGCUGGCUUCAACCUGACCAAAUGCAGAAGGCGGGGUCGGAAUAUCAUCGGUCACAGAGCUACUGUGGAUUUGCCAGGCCAACGGGGAGGAAAUAUCACCAUGUGGGCUGCUAUUUCGGAGCAUGGUGUCCUAACCCAUAUCCCCCUUAUAGGGCCAUAUAACACCCAGCAUCUACUCAACUUUUUAGAGACUCUCUACAGGGCGCUCAUCCCUGAUGAUGACAGGGGUCUGUUUAGAGAGGAUUUGCCAAAGUAUGUGGUCAUUUGUGAUAAUGUGAGUUUCCAUCGAUCAAACAUCAUAAGGCAAUGGUUUGUGACCCACCCGAGGAUGCUCAUAGAAUUCCUCCCACCUUAUUCACCAUUCCUUAACCCAAUUGAGGAGUUCUUUUCAGCAUGGAGGUGGAAGGUGUACAAUCGUUAGCCACACACACAGAUGACCCUGCUGGCUGCAAUGGAUGCAGCAUGUGAGGACAUCACAGUAGACGCCUGCAGAGGAUGGAGAAGGCAUUCCAAAAGAUUCUUUCCACGUUGCAUUGGAAGGGAAAAUAUCCGGUGUGAUGUGGAUGAGAAUAUGUGGGCCGACAGACAGGAAGGUCUGGAUGUGUAGAGACACUAGAACAGCGCUGCGGGCAAAGUUGUGCCUUAGGGGUGGUUUCCUGUGUUUCUUUCUAAUGUAGUUUUUUUUCCCUUGUGCCCCUUGGGUUGUCCAGUCUCUUUCAAUCAAUAACCCACAUACAGUAAUAUGUAAAUAGUACUGUGGAAAUUGAUAUAUGCCAUAGAAGUGCAGCCUUGUGCAUUUUCAAUACAGUAACUGUCAUCCAAACUGUAUUACAUCAGGUAAUACUGUCAAAGUACACAGUUCCAUUGACAACAUGCCUAAACAUUUUGACGACCUUGUUCGUGAACAAUGACUCAAUGACUUAUCAUUCUGAUGACACUGACAUGAUCAUUGGCGCGAGUAUUUACCUUUGAGAGAUGUACUAAGGAUUUUUAGUGACUGACUAGCUUAAGAAACACAUCUAUUGUAUAUUGCAGUUUGUACAACUUGUUCUGAGAAAUGCACUUAUUAUUUUGCACAUGUUAGGGAUGAUGUGAAAAAUGCACCAAAGCGACUGAGAAACUGUAUUCCUCUUCCUGUAAUGUAAGUAAGUGUUGGACCAAAUUGACUAUUUAAGUCAAUUACAUUUUUUUAGUGGCAGAAAAUACAGUAUUAUUGAGUAUGAAUGCCAAGCCAGUUGAAUGUUUUCUGACCUUCUACCAUUCCGUUGAAUGUUCUCUGACCUUCUACCAUUCAGUUGAAUGUUCUCUGACCUUCUACCAUUCAGUUGAAUGUUCUCUGACCUUCUACUAUUCAGUUGAAUGUUCUCUGACUGUCACGCCCUGACCUUAGAGUUCCUUUUUAUGUCUCUAUUUUGGUUUGGUCAGGGCGUGAGUUGGGGUGGGCAUUCUAUGUUCCCUAUCUAUGUUUUGUAUUUCUGUGUUUUGGCCUGGUAUGGCUCUCAAUCAGGGACAGCUGUACAUCGUUGUCGCUGAUUGGGAGCCAUACUUAGGUAGCCCUUUUUCCACCUGUCUGGUAUGGGAAGUUGUUUUUGCAUAGCUGUGAGUAGCCUGCGAAACUGUUCGUUUGCUGUGUCGCAUAUUGUUUUGGUUUUUGCUGGUUCACCAUUUUUAUUAAAGUAUGACGAACCCAACCCACGCUGCGCCUUGGUCUCAUUCCAACAACGGACGUUACACUGACCUUCUACCAUUCAGUUGCAUGUUCUCUGACCUUCUACCAUUCAGUUGCAUGUUCUCUGACCUUCUACCAUUCAGUUGCAUGUUCUCUGACCUUCUACCAUUCAGUUGCAUGUUCUCUGACCUUCUACCAUUCAGUUGAAUGAAUCCAGGAGCUGUACAUGUUCCCCAGCCUAGCCCUUUACCUCAAGGAAGAGUCCUUUGUAGCGCACACCAAUGACAACUUCAUGGCCCUAUUGUCUGCACAGCGGCCAUACGGAAUGACAAGAGGAGGCGGUAUGAGAGACCCAAGGUGCAGGGCUAUGCUGUGCUGUGUGACUUCCUCUCCAGAUGGGUCCCUACUGGUCACGGGGCACCGUCCACUUCUACGACCAGCAGAGCACACGGACACUGAACACGCUGCACCCACACCAGCAGGCCUGCGAGUGUCUCUGCACCCUGUGCUGCCCGCUGUGGUGACGACGUGUGACUGGGGUGACGAGAUCAGGAUCUGGCAGUGAUUGGCACAGAAGGACUGUAUGUAAGGGGAAUGAUUCCGAGAGCUCUCAUAGAUGAUUUUCUUCUUUGGGGAUUUAAUUAUAACACCCAGACACUACAAACAUCCAGCCGUCCUUCCUAUCUGAGCUGCCGGAGAAGAAACUGCUAAGGGAUGAUACCAUGACACUUAGUCUUCACACUGACAUUCGCUUCCAUUCAAAGACUUGCCUGUAUAUCAAACUGCUGUCAGUUGUCCAUUGGUUAGCUCAUAUCAUAACUUCAAUCAAAUGGAUAGGGAAACUGUCAAAUGGACUGUAUGUAUAUUGUAACAUAGCUUACUUAGUGUAUAGGAUGUUCACUCAUAUUGUAGAUGAACGGUGUGAUCAACCUCUGGC
Molecule: long non-coding RNA, 4692 nt
Filed under: Salmo salar (Atlantic salmon)
Lineage: Eukaryota; Metazoa; Chordata; Actinopteri; Salmoniformes; Salmonidae
Description: lncRNA (ENSSSAG00000083678.1)
Source: RNAcentral